Molecule: long non-coding RNA, 426 nt
Organism: Ictalurus punctatus (channel catfish)
Lineage: Eukaryota; Metazoa; Chordata; Actinopteri; Siluriformes; Ictaluridae
Source: Ensembl
GACAAGUUCAUCAACGUUUAUCAUGCUGAACUCAGGUUCAGGGCUGAAGAACACAAUGUGUGCAAUUCCCUUGAAAAAAUCUCUGAUUAAUGAAUAGUAAAGAGAAAUGGAAUAGCAGUUGGAAGGAAUAUAAAAAAUCUUGCCUGAUGUGUAUUUUUCUGUGGUUUUACAGAAAAAGGAAAGGAGCUCCUAGAGCAGCUUGAAGUACAGAACAGUAACACUUCUGGAAAUGCUCAGGUGGAGCAACUCCCCAUGGUCUGGGCUCCUGCUUCACCCACUGUCCCCAGAAGUGGUACCUCUCACAUCACUGCUCAUUUUAAACAGUUCAUCAUCCACUAAACAUACUGAAGCAAUUGCAGUCAUCAUCUAAAACUAUUUCUGAAACAAUACAGCACUGUUAAAUAAACUACAGUGCCUUGCAUAAGC